CAAAAACCUGUGACAGUAAACCUCAGCCCAUAGCCCGUAAAAGUGUAGGAAAUUCCCCCAGAAGGUGGAAACCUUAUUGAAGUACAGGUUCAGCAACUGGACCGUUUGCACAGGGCGUCUGGCUUUCCAGGAAUCAGAGACUGAGAGGCCAGAGGAAUAAAAGAUCUUGGAGGAGUGCAGAGAAAAACAAGAAAAAAUGCCAUCAAAUUCUCCGUAAUAUCUCCCUAGAAAGAAGAUAUUUAUGCAAGUGGAUACAAGUCUGCCUACAUUGGCAGCAUAAAGACCUUUAAACUCCUUAGAUCAAAAUAAGAUCACAAUGAAUAUUGACUCAACUUGCACCUGACUUGUUUAAUACUAGCUCCUCAUCAGGGAAAACUAGUCUAUUUUGCCUUUGACUUCAUAGCCAUUGUUUGACAAUUCAGAGGGAAUCAUGAAGGAGGGCACCCAAGGGAGAUAGUAUUGUUAAGAAGAACAAGUUGCCCCAAAACAGAGAGUACAGGCACAUCUUUGCUCUGAGACUGAGGAAUUCCACCAGCAUUCAACCACG
Gallus gallus (chicken) is the source of this 547-nucleotide long non-coding RNA. The record is from Ensembl. NCBI's taxonomy places the organism in Eukaryota, Metazoa, Chordata, Aves, Galliformes, Phasianidae.